This 215-nucleotide ribosomal RNA is filed under the name uncultured bacterium. RNAcentral's name for it is "partial 16S ribosomal RNA". It matches the Rfam family "Bacterial small subunit ribosomal RNA", at positions 1286 to 1500 of the family's 1533-position model. The record is from RNAcentral.
UCUCAGUUCGGAUUGUAGGCUGCAACUCGCCUACAUGAAGUCGGAAUCGCUAGUAAUCGCGGAUCAGCAUGCCGCGGUGAAUACGUUCCCGGGCCUUGUACACACCGCCCGUCACACCAUGAGAGUCGGGAACACCCGAAGUCCGUAGCCUAACCGCAAGGGGGGCGCGGCCGAAGGUGGGUUCGAUAAUUGGGGUGAAGUCGUAACAAGGUAGC